RNAcentral lists this long non-coding RNA (21627 nucleotides) under Vitis vinifera (wine grape). RNAcentral's name for it is "long non-coding RNA (VVIN_LNC004402)". The record is from RNAcentral. Lineage: Eukaryota; Viridiplantae; Streptophyta; Magnoliopsida; Vitales; Vitaceae.
GGAGCGGAGUUCGUAGGCUAUCCCAACUUUCCCAAUCAAAGGACUCCACAUCCCAGACGUCAUCGAGAACAAGCAGAAAUUUCUUGUUAACAAGGCUCUGUUUGAGUUGACGCUGAAGCAAAUCCAGGUUGUCAUCGGAAGUAGGUCUAUCGCCGAUUUCCUCAAGAAUUGAUUUGGUGACCUUGAUAAGAAGAAACUCAGUGGAAACACAGACCCAUGCUUUCAAGUGGAAGUGUUCCUUCACUUUGUCAUUGUUGUAGAGAAGCUGAACGAGUGUGGUCUUGCCGGUGCCGCCCAUGCCAACUAUGCAGAUCACAUCUAUGUCUUCCUUGCCUCUUGCGUUAUCAGAAAGCAAGCAGUUCACCAUGUCCUCCUUAAUUUCAUCCCUGCCGUACACAAAGGACUCAUCCACCAAAGAAGUGGAUGGUAAUCUUGGUGGCAGUUUCUCGCCCCCACCUUCUUUCAGGCCAAGCCCAACUUUUUCUUGAGCAAUAGCCUCAAGUUUAGCGAUCAUCUCCUUCACUCUGGACUCCAUGCUUUGAGUAGCAAAUGGCGCCUUAACACAAUCAGAGAACUUGUUCCACACCUGAUGAAUUCCACCGGUUUGGGAGUCCGUAGCUUCGAUCUUGCAGCGCAAAGCAUCGGUAGCGAUCCCGUCCAACAGGUCCUCCGCACCAUACACAAUAUCCUUAGCCUGUACCAGCCACUCUUUGACUGGGUCGUUUGAAAAUUGCUUCACCUCUGCAUCAUUGAGCACAUUGAGAACAACCAAGAAUUUCCUCCUCAAGUCGUUAAGGAGUUCUUUGCUGAGAUUCCGUCGCCGAAUGAAGUUUAUGAGCUCUGGAGAAGCCAACCUCUCGAAUAGGACUUGAAGCGAAGCCGAGAGCAGUGCGUCCGCCAUAUCUGUCGACUGUUGCUUUGCAAUUGGAAUUCAGAUGAUUGGUUUGUAUUAGCGCGAUACCACCAAACUUCACGAGACUGGUUUUGGAUUACCAAAUGCAGAAGGCUUGAAGGAAUGCUUGAGUGGUGAGAAAAAGAAAGAAAACAAAAAAAAGUUGAUGCCAAACUUCGUUGUGUAGGAACAAAGCAGAUUCGUUACGCAGGCUUCAAUUUUUCUCUUCUUUCCUCUUUUUAUUAUUAUUAUUUUUAAUUAUUUUCUUUUUCUUCUCCUUCUAUUAUUAUUAGUGCGUAUAUAUACCCAAAUAAUUGUUUUAACAUUAUCAUUCCUAAUAUUAUGAAUAUUAAUAUCCAUAUUAUUAUUUUAAUAAUUAUAGUAGUAUUAUAAUUUUAUAAUUAUAAUGGUUAGUUUUUUUCUCAUAAUUAUUAUUAUUAGAAUAUAUUACUAUUACUAAAUUUUUUAAUAUUAUGGUUAUUAUUAUUAAAUAAUGAUAUUAUUAUUUGAUUCAUUAAUUUAUUGCACAUAAUUAUAUAUAUAUAAUUAACUAAUAUUAUGAUUUAUCAUUUAAUAAUUGUAUAGGUUAAUUAUGAUUUUUUUUUCUUUUUAAUUCUGAGGCUUGAAGGAAUCAUUGGUUGUGAUGUACCCCAUAAGGAAAGAAAAAGCAAAAGCAAAAGCCAAAAAGCAUAUAUAUCCUUUUUUUUUUCUUUUUAAUUUUAUUUAUUAAAAUUUUAUUCCUUAGAAUCAAAUGUAAAAUAAUUAAUUUUAUGUUCAAUAAUCAUGAAUAAAAAGCAUCAAAUUAUGAAAAUUAUUGUUUUCUAUAUUUUUAUAGUGAAGUUAUGUUUUACAUAUACAAAUUUUUAUGGAUACAUGAUUUCCUUAAUUGGAAUGCGAAAGAAAAUCUCGUUGAUAAUUGUUUUUCAUCUUAGAAAAAAUACACCCUUAUUUCGGUGAAAUGAUUAAAAAAAUGAUUUAAAGCACAAGAAUAAUUAAUAGAUUUAAAAUUUGAAAAUCAAUAAUAGAAAAACGGUGAAUGAUUCAAAUGAGCAUUUACUUUUCUUGGUAAUAUGAAGUGUUGAACUUUGGAUUUGUUAGCAUGUAUGGAUAUUUAAUAAAUUAGAAAAAGAAAAAAAAUCUUAGGGGAAAGACACAAUAACUAAUUAUAGAAUUUUUUUUUUACAAAAUAUAAUAACUUGUAUAUUAUUUAAUAUUUAACUAAAAAUUUAAAUUUAGUAAAAUCUACUUUUAAGAUUAGGAAAAAUCAUUACUUUAGUGAGAUUAUUGAUUCAUCUAUAAAUGAAUAAUUUAUUAAUUAAAUAAUAAAUUUAUUAUAUUUUUAUUGUGAUACUUGUACAUAAAAAUAAAAUAAAAAAUAAAAAGAAAGAAUAUAUCAUAGGUAGUGUAUACAUUACAAACAAAUUAAAGACGAGGUUAAAUAUUAAAAACAGAGUAAAUGACAAAACCACCUGUAGACCCCAUUUUGGGGCUCAUUUUUCUUGCAUUUUGUGCAACACAUUCUUACAAAGUGGAGGGCCCUCAAGAAUGUUCGUGGUUUGAAGAGGCAAUGGAAGGUUGACAUGUAUCAUAGAAUAUUCUGAGGAAAAGCUAUAGACUGAUAGAGGGGGGUUGGAGAGCAUUUUUUUUGGGGGACGUGUUAUGUAUUAGCUGGUGAGAGGAUGGCUUGAGGAGCAAGCUUGCUGGGGAGGUUACAGAGAGAAGAGGCAACCAGAGAAAGAAGGUAGCUGAGAGCGUAAGAAGAUAUGGUGGGUUGGAGAGCAUUUUUUUUAGGAGAGAUAGCUUAAGGAGGAAGGACUGAGGGGAAUUCUUGUGGCUGGUUGCUUGAGAGGAAAGGUAACUGAGAGAAAACAGAGGAGGAAGGGAAGUGGGAGACCAUGGUGAGCAGAGUUUGAAAACCAUGGGAAAGCAGCUUGAAGAGGACUGGCUCGAGAGAAGAGGGAGGGUAUUUUCUGGAGCAGAAAGAAUGAAGUAGAGUAACUUGAUACCCAACUAGCCUCGCAGGAAGAGAGCAUUUUCAGGUACUUUUGCUAGACCACGUAGUGAUUGCUAUUGAUUUUCUUUGGGUUGCUGUGAUUAUGUCUAAUAAAUCUGUUCCUGGUUUUUUAUGUGAAAUUUGUUUAAGAAUGAUACAGUUCCUUUUUAGCUUUCCUUUGGGUGUCUGAGUCAUAUCUUUGGAUCUUAUUUCCACCUGGUUUUUCCCACCCAUACACAAGCCCAUUGACUUCAAUAUGAGAUGGGGCUCGGGUAAGUGUUUUCUUGAGUUCAUUUGAUGCUCUGUUUUCCUGCUUGCCCCCUUGUUGUUUACUCUCUACUCUCUGUGGCCAUUUGUACUCCCAAGGAAAAGAUUUUUUCUAGCAUUGCCAUUGGUUUUCCUAUGGGCAUAGUUUCUGAGCUUGGGUAGCCGUUGUUUCAUUUGUUCAUAAGGUUGCUGGGUUAUUUUGCUAAAAAAUUUGAGACGGCCAUAUUAGGGUAUUAGUUUUAUCUCUUGACUGUAGGUGGUUCUGGAUACUUAAUUGGGUCUUACAAGGGGCAAGGUUGUCAGCCAAUCAUCAGAUAUGAGACGCUAGCACUUUGAGAGCAUGGGAUGGAUGUUCAGCUAAGAUUGUUAGCAGAAAAGAAGGGUGUUGUAGAAAAAUUGAAUUCACUUGAGGAGAAAGGGAAAUAUUCAAAAGCAGAAUCAAUUUAUGUACAGGUGCUUAUGAGGAUGGGCAACGUGUCAGCAUCGAUGUUAUGUCAUCCAUUUUCGAGGAGCAGUCUGCUGUCGAUAAGCAAAUGAGUGUCUAGACAAAAUACCAACAGGGUUUGAUUCAGUGGUUUGAACUGCCUCGCUGGGAGGUUGUGAGAACAUGAUGAAAACCCAGAUUCUCUUGCUUACUUCUAGGGAGCUACUCCACAAGUUCCUCUCCUAUGCCUGCAGACAUGCAACUUUGGCCACUCAUGGCCACAUUUUCUCUCUGUAUUGAACAUACGACUCUCUUCAUAGUUCAUGUUUUGUGCUCAACCCAGGACCAUUCUCCAAACACUACAUUUUGAUCGAUUUCUGGGUUUAAGGGUUGAUUGCAUGUCUCAAUGAUGAAAGAUGAUCCUCUUGACAAAUCAUGGUUUUGGCUUAAAUUUUCUCCAGAGAAUUUUCUCAUUUUCCAUUAAGAAAAUUAGAACAGAAUGAUCUGGACCGCUUGUGGUUCAGCUAUGGACUCGACUCAUGCGUCUCAUUCGUUUGAUGUGACGAUCAUUGGAGCCGGAAUAAUUGGGUUGAGCACUGCCCAGCAGUUCCUACUGCACUUUAACCUCUCUGUCAUCGUGGUUGAUAAGGAUGUCCCCUGCUCCGACUCUACCGGUGCCAUGGAUCAUAAUCGCGGUAUCAGUCACUGACUCGGAUGGUCCCGAGACGUAUCGGUCUGGUAUCGGGCGAUACGUAAAAUAAGCUAAUUAGAAAAUUCAAAAAAAAUAUAAAAAUAUUAUGUAAAUCAUCAUAAAAAUAUAUACAAUUAAAUAAGCUCAAAAAAUUAAUAAAAUAAAAUAGUCUCACAUUUAACAUUAUUUAAAUAGUUAUAAAAGUAUCUGCUCAAAGUUAUUUAUGAUAAUGCUAAUAAAAGAAAAUUAUUUUAUUUCAAAUAUAAUAACAUUUUUACUAACAAACAUACAAUACAAUAAUCAAUUCCAUGUUGAAUGACGAGGGGGUUCAAAAUCAUCAUCAUCAGUCCUAUGACGAGCAUACAAAUUGGGGUGGCAAUUCCUGUAGUGAGGAUAUGGUUGAAAGAGUUGUUCAUAACUUGAAUAUGUUGGGUGAGAUGAUUGGCUUGAUGAUCCAUAAUUAGGAAAAUAUGGUUUCGAAGGCUGUUCGGGAUCAACACCAGAUUGAUAGUAUCCAAAACCUCGAUAAGAAAUGCUACUACUACUAGAAGAUUGAUCAUAUCCAUAUGAGUCACUAGCUCGUGUUUCAGUAUUUGAAUAUCCCUCUGGAUGCAUAAUUGGAAAUCGAUUAAAAUCAUUUCUACUAAAAGCACUGGAAGAGCUAUCACGGUCUCUAAAGUUGUUAUAUGAUCUAUCAUCUACCCCUCUGAAAUACGACCUUAAUCCUAUACCCAAAUUUUGUAAGUGCUCGUCAAUAUGGUGAUAAUUUGAUCUAUGAUAAUCAUGCCCACUAGAAUAAUCAUCAUUGUUGGGAAAUGUAGUUAGUUUUUCCAAAUGCUUUCGUUGUUCCCAUAUCCCUAGUCGAUAUCCAUGAUCUGUAUCUUGUGUGGCAUAGUAAUUUUCACCUCCUUAUGCCCAUGACAUGUCGGGAUCUACUCGACUAAAAUAACCGCCCCCAGUGCUACCAUCUCCUCCAGUACUCUCACUAGUGCCACCACCCCGCCUACUGCCCCUAUUGUCACCAUCAUUACUACUAGAUUUUGAAGAAAUUGUUCUAGAAGCCUUACCUUUACAACGGGAAUCAACAUCUCUUUCUCUACCUUUUUCAUUAGUGAAAAGACCUUUAUCCAACCAAUCCAAAUUAUCAGAUGAUAAAAUAGGCUCCUCUCCUUCUCAUAUCCACUCAUUUAAUAUAUCAUCAUCAUUAAAGAUAUGAUUCAGAUCAAUUGGAUUGUAUAAAUCUUCAUUGCUUCGCUCUUGCAUCAAAUUCUUAACUCAAAGUCGCAUAUUGUAGUGCACAUAAACUAACUUAUGCAACUUUUUCAUUGCCAAACGGUUGCAUAACUUUGUGUGAAUCAAUGACCAUGUGCUCCAAUUUCUUUCACAACCUGAUGAAGAACAAGUUUGGCUUAAAAUUUUAACAGCAAUCUUUUGUAGAUGUGGACCUUCGUCGCCAUAGUUGUUCCACCAUUCAGCUAUAAUAAAGAAAAUGCAUACUUAUUAAUCACUAUGAUAUAUUUAACAAAAAAUGAUGAUAAUUUCUUAUUUGUAAUAGACGUAAAUGUAUUGAGUACCUAGAAGAGAUUGAUUUAUUGCUUUCUUUGUAAGUGCACUUCCAAAUUCUCCUUGGCCAUCAACAAAUAAUUUCACCUACAUCAUUAACAUUUUUUUUUUAUUAAUGCACAUUACAUAUACAAAAUGCAUUAUAUAAAGGUCACAAACUAUUAUUAUACCUUGUUAAUAACUUUUGCUUGUCUAUCCAAAUCUGGCUCUAAUCUCUUGAUAACCUCCUUGAAUCCAACUUUAAUUUUUGGAUGGUUGGAAAAAUGCUUUGAAUAAUGGAACAUUGGAUUUAAAAAAUAUGCUAUCGUAAGUUAAAUAAUGAUCAGUUUAUAAUAAUUUAUACUUGAAAAAAAAAAAAUAUGUAAGGAAUUUUUUUAUUACCUGUAGCAUGCAAAUGUCUAUGCAAUUGACCGUCCCACCUUCUAUCAAUGACUUCCCAAUACUUUUCCCAUUGCUUGACCGAUGCCUUGAUAGCCAAUUUAGCUCUAUCCAUUGCUUCAUAAAUGAUUGAUAGUAUGGGCUUUUUAUCUUGAUCAACCAAUUUCAAUACUUUGAAGAAAGGUUCCAUGAUGGUUUAAACUCCCCCUGCCUUCUUCCAAAAUCGAUCAGUUAAGAUAAGGUUGGAUACCUUAUUUCUUAGACUUUUUUUGCUCCUAUCUUUAUUGAAUUCACACCACUCAUUUGUUGUACACAUUCUCUUCAAAUCAGCCUCAUAACGUAUAAGACUCUCAAGAGAAAUGAGUUCGAUGGCAAAACGGGUUAUUCCUGGCCUUAACUGAUCUCUAUUCUUGGUGAACACUUUCAUCAAAUUCACUACUUUCAAGCUAUUAUAAAUAAAUCCUGUGAUCAUCUUAGCUUGAUUUAAUGUCUCAUUAAUCUGCUUCAUGCUUCCAAUAUCUUCAAGCAUUAAAUCAAUAUAGUGGGUUGCACAAGGAGACCAAAACAAAUGUUUCCGCUUCUCCAUCAACAACAUACUGGCUGCUUUAAAACUUGCCUCAUUAUCAGUGACUACUUGAACAACAUUUUUCUCCCCAACCUCCUCUACAACUUUAUCCAUAAGGGAAAAGAUGUAGUCUGCUGUCUUAAGUAUGUUGGUAGUGUCAACUGAAGAAUGAUAUAUCAUACUUCUAUCACAAUAAAUCAUGAAAUUGAUGAUAGGCUUUCUAGUCCUAGAACUCCAACCAUCACACAUGAUUGUGCACCCAUAUAUAGGCCAUUUAGCCUUCAAUGUUGUUAUGUAUACCUCAAGCUCUUGCACCUCCUCUUCCAAAUCUGUAUUUCCAAUUUGGUAUCCCGUGGGACCCUUGAUGUCUGAACCUACUUCUGCUAUGGUAUCAAUAAUUGAUUGAUAGUAAGGCCCACUGUCAGCUGCAUUAAAAGGUAUUGCAUUAAAGAGAAAGAAUUUAGAAAUAGCUUUACCCACUUUCUUCACGCCUUCAGUAGAAAACAAGCUUUUUAUUGAUUUAUGCUUUGAUGGGAACAUGUAGGGAUCAAUUCCUUUUAGAGGUAUGCUAGCUCCUUCUCUUACACUGAAGCUACGUGUCAGUCCGCGCUUAAUCCUAGCAUUAGAAGGUUGUGAGGAACUACCACCCUUUUGAUGCUCUUGUCCACCUUCUUCAAAAAUUCCACGACUUUCUUUCAUUGCUUGCUUCAUUUGUCUUCUUUCAAAAUCAGCCAUAGCAACUUCCUCAAUUUCAUCAUCAAAAUCACCUUCAUCAAUUUCAUAGAAAUUUUUUCUAUUUAAGGAAUUCAAAAGUUGUUUUUUUUUUCUUAACUGUGUUUUUUCUUUUGAAGUGUUAGACAUAUGUUGUCUAACACUAUGUGACACUUCUAUCGGUACACGUGGACAUCCUUCCACUUGUCCAGAUAUAUGUACGAUGUGUUGCUUUAAUCUUGUUAUACUGCCAUGUAUAACUUUCCCACAAUAUUUACACUUUGUGAUUCUUCUACUACCACCAACAGGUUCUGCAUGCUCCCAACCAAUAUCAUGUUUUGAAGCCAUUUUGAAAUUUUAACCUAAUCAUGUAUAAAAGGAAAACAAUUUACUUUUGAAAUUAAAUAUAUAUAAACACAUUUAUAUAAGAAUUAUAAUAUUCAAUUUUCCACUCACUUAUAUGUUUCAUAUUAUUACCAUAUAAAAAUAAAUUGUACUAAAAAAGCAAUAAACACGAUCUCACCUAAGUUCAUCAUCUUUUGUUUUCUACUUAUUUAUAUGUUUUUUUUAUUAAAAUAAAUAAUAGUUAAAUAAAUGAAUAUUUUUAUAAAAAAAAUUCUUUUAAAAAAGUUUGUUUUGAUAAUUAUUGAUUUCCUAUUGUAAUUUAAUUGUAGAAUAUUAUAAAAAAAAAUCUACAUGAUAUAAUGAAGUAAGAUUGAUUCAAAUAUAAAUGUAAUUGACCAUGUAAAUGCAUAUCCUUCAUUUUGUAUUAUUAAAUCAUUUAUGAUUAUUUGAAAAAAAAAUUCAAUAAUUAUUAAUUUUCUAUAGUAAUUCAAUUUUGCAAUAUAGUAUUAAUGUAAUUGAGUAAUAGAGAAAUUUUUUGUCACUAAUAUAAUGUAAAUUUAUUUAUACUAAUAGAAAAUUGAGUGAUAAUUUUAAAGUAUUCAAUACAAUUUCUUGUGCAUUAUAUUUUGUACCAUUAUACAAAAUUUUAUAUAAUCCUUAUACUUGAAGAGUAACUCAAUUUAUUAAAACCUAAUUAGUUAAAAAUGAUGAAAAUAAUCCUUAUAUUUGAAGAGUAAUUCAUUUUUAUAUAUAUAAAUACCCUUGAUUAUUUUAAGUAUUUACAUGAAUGCUUUAAAAGAAAUAAUUAUUUUUAUAAGGAAAAAAUGAGAGUGUUUUUUUAAAAUGAUGCCAAAAAAAUAAUGAAGGGUUAGAUUUACAAAAUUGGGUUUUCAAUAACCUUUUUAAUUAAAUAAGUCAUUUACUAAUGCUAUAUUUGGUUUAUGAAUAUUAGAGGAAAAAAAAAGAAAACUAAACAAAUUUAAGGUUAAUAAAUUAUUUUUUUAUGGCUCUUUUAAUUCAUUUUAUUUAUUUAUUUUUCUAUAUAAAUAUUAUAUAAUUUAAAUAUAUAUAAAUGUUUAGCUAAUUUUUAAUUGUAGUUGAUUUUCUUUUAUAUUUUUUAUGAUAAAAAUAGUGAAAAAAAAUAAAUUAAUUUUCUUAAUAAUUUUUUGGGAAUCAAAUAUAACCUAAACGAAGGUUUAUUAUCUAUUACAAAAGAGUACUUAUAAUUUUUUACUUAUAUAUGAUAUUAUAAUAAAAUCAUAGGUUUAUUUUAUUUUAUUUUUAUAAAAAAAAAAAUACUAUUUUAGUAUAUGUUAGAAACAUAAAAAUAUUAACAUCUUCAUCAUUUUUUGGGUUAAAAAUUAAUAAUAAAUAUUUAAAGUAAUAAUUUUUCAUAAUAUUUUAUUUAAAUUGAAUAAUUAAUAAAGUUUAACUUUUUAAAAAUGAGUCAAAAUUUUCAUUCCAUGUACUCAUUUAGAAUUGAAUUAUGAACAUAAUAUUAUAAAAUGUUUUGAUUUUAUAUGUAAUUAAUUAGAUUGGUUUUUUGAAUUCAAAUUAUUUUUAAAAAUAAAAAAAUUCAUGAAAUAAUUUAAAAUUAUUAAUUAUGUCUUAUUUAGUUUAUAAGACAUAUAGCAACAAUAUUUGAAAAGGAAUAACAGAUUAUAUAUAACAACAAUAUAUAUUAAACCAUAUACAGAGAGUAUAUAUAUUAAUUUGAAAAGGAAUAACAGAUUAUAUAUAGCAACAAUAUUAAACAAUAUUUGAAAAUGAAUUCCUUCAUUAAUUUAUUACCCGCCAGUUUGAAAGUUGAAACCCUUACCUUUUCUGACUCUGUCUUCUUCUUCUUCCCCAGCACAGCAACACCACAAAGAUGCAACCCUCUGUCUUCUUCCCCAACACCACGAAGACGCAGCCUUGCUAUCUUCUUCCCCAACACACCACGAAGACCACGAUUUGCAAUCUCUCAGACUAUCGGACCACGACCUGCUACCUUCCCACCAUGCACCGCACCAAAGACGAAGAUUCUACACUUCGACAAUGGUGAAUUUAGGGUUAGGUAAGUUAUUCUUCAACUGAGGCUCUUUUUAAAGGCUUUUGAAAGGGUCAUGGGUUUGUUUCAAAUUUUCACGGGUUUGUUUAAAAUUUUCAUAGGUUUUCUUUUGUAGAGGAAUCUCUGAUUUCUCUGAAAAAUCAAGACUUAUUGUGAUGGGGCUUUUUUGCAAAGAAUUUGUUGAAUUUUUUUCUCCGAGUUGACCGAGUUAACUCAGAAUAUCGGUCGACUCAUCCGAGUCCAACCGAUUCAGGCUGAGUCUAGGUAUCUAGUAUCGGACUCGUCGUGGUCAACUUCGAGAUACAAUUCGACCAAGUCGUACGUGACUAGGCUAAUUUUUUGAACCCUGACCGAUGCAAGGCAUGGCUACUUAUGGAUGGUACAUAAAACACCUGGGAGUGAUAUAGGGAAUUGUCAACAAGAAGUCACAAACUGUGGGAGCUAUUGGCUGAGAGCAUACAGGAGCAAGGCAUGAAUCCUUUGGAAAUUGUGGGCACCCAAUGCCAAUUGAGUAUCAUGCCUGCUGCAACUAUAGUUGCUUCCCUGGUUAUUGUAGUUUCCCGUCUUACCAUCAUAUGGCACCACCAAUGCCAUUUCAUUGGCAUGGGUGCCUUCCCAUGUACUCCGAAGCCUCCAAUGCUCUUAUCUCCACUGUCAAACCUACUUCAUAUCACCACCCUUCCCCCGAACCCCUCAUACCCAUUCCUCUCGCUACCCAUAGUUCCCCCUCACGCCCUUUCUCCUAACCCAUCAUACUUUCACCUAGAUCCUCAUUUUUCCUUCACCCCAUGCAUGCUCUUCAGUUAAUGACCAUCAAUCAAUCAAAAUGACCUCCAAGGUGACCUCACCCAUUCACGUACCCUCAUUCUACAUGAUCAAUAAUAAAGGCGGUGUUUCACCUCGGCAUCCGUAUUGUAGCAUCAAUAAUGUCUGAAUUCUUUAGCUCACUAUUCGCGCACACCGGCAAAUAUGCUGCAUUUCGAAACUUGAAGAUGAAUUGUUAGUUAAGAUGAGCAUGCUUCUUGCGUCUGAGAAGGAAACUGGUCUAUUUUCUGACACCGUAACCGGUCACUUGGGCGUCAUCAGUCAAGCAAUGAUCAGCUACAUCACCCACCUGGGCAUUCCCGAUCUCUCUUAUGGAAUGUAUCUCACUCAUGGUCUACAGCUAAGUAGCUCCAAUCAAUAGCAAACUACUUGGUCCCACCUCGUAGAAAUGACAGGGGCCUCCAGAUUCAUAGUUCAGUCUUCCGACAUUUCUCAUGAGGUGUUUCAUUUUAUCUUGCUUCAAGAAAGGAUGAUGGAAGAAUCAAAGAAGCGAGUUGUUGAAGGAGAUCAAUCAGAUGGAAAUGGCAGCAAGGGCAGUAGGUUCGUAACCUUUGACAGUUCUGAUAUCGUGAAGAGCGUUUUGGCCAAUGGAAGUCCACAUUAUGUUUAUGGGGCUAGUGUUCUUGUGAAACCUUACAGAGAAAAGCCAAGAAACCUCAGAUUGUCAUGACCAGAGCAGGCAGCACCAGUGGAUUGCAUUAUGACAUGAAAAUCUGUGCACAAGCUUCAAAUCUGCUUACGUUUGCUGAAGGAUUUGGAACCCGGUUGAAAGGUAGUUGUUCCAACAUGUGAACUUCAAGGCGAAGUAAGACGCAUGCAUGGCCACCCUAGUAGCCACAUGGCUUUCUUUCACUCCAUCUUUGCUUUUUAAAAAUAAUUCCCUACACUCCCAUUCUUUAAAUGAUUUUCCAGAUUCUAGGUUUUUUUUUUUUAAUAAUCUCAACACUAUAAUUUUUCAUCCUCUGAAUUUUUUUAAAUUCCAAAAAAUCCUUCCAUUUUUAAUAAGAUUUGCUGCCAUUUUCUUCGACAAGCAAUUUUCACAUUUUCUUGAUUUUUUUAAAAUGUUUUAAAAUAAACAUAAAUCUAAUUUUGUAAUUCCAAGUGAUGGAAUUUACAGAAUUGGUUCAUGCAGAAAUAAAUCAGGUUUGGUGGGGCCCAACAUGCAUGAUUUUUCUUAUUGAUUGAUUGAUUGAUUGUCAUGCUUGAUUGAUUCGCUUUGUGAUGUACAUGCGAAUGUUCUAUGUUUGUUCAUUAACCUUUGUCCUUCAUGAAGCAGUCAACUCAUUGCUCAAGUACAUUCCUUGUUUCUCUUGUUCAUUUGAUUAUUUUUAGAUCGAUGUUCUUCAGAUAUCCAUGUUUAAUUAAUCAAUUAUCACACGUAUUUCAUCUUAUUUAGUAGAGACCCAUUUUAGGGGCUUAGAGGGGUGCUACGGUCUGUACCAUACCUUCGCAAUAAGUAACCUGACCCCAGAGUCCAGAUUUAGUUUUUUCACAUACCACUUUUUCCAAAUAAGGAGUCACACUUAGGGUUUUCUUUCUUAUUUUAUUUUCCUUUUAAAAAUAAAACAAAAAUAAAUGGCGACUCCAAGUCAUUUUCUAAAAAAAAAAUCAUUUUUAAAUAAAAAUCUAGUUGCACCAUUGAGUGGAAGCACAUGAACAAAAAUGCAGGGUCCACACCACCACAUGGCAACACAGGAACAAAUUCAUAAACAACCAACAACCAUGAACCAACAGUAAGUUAUCAUUUUUUGAAUAGAGAAGAACUACUAAAAUGUGCAGGAAAUAUUUUAAAAAGGAAAAAUCCAUUAACCUUCGUUAAGACUUGAGCUCUAUAAUUUUCUUUUUAAAAAGGAAAAAAUCCAUGAAUAAAAGUUGUAACAUUAUGAAGGUUUUUUUUUCAUAAUAAAAUUAUUUUUCGGUGAUAAUUUUUUAAAGUGUGCAAAAAGAUACAAAACUUUAAUGUUAUGUUUGGUAUUUGAAAAUUUUGAGAGAAAAUGUUGGGAAAAAAAAUAGAAAGUAAAAUUUGAAGGAAAUCAAAGCCCCACUCAAAUGGGCUUGAACCCCAUGGGCGCACAAGACUCUCCCAUACCUCUUCACAAGCACAUUAAGCCAUAGAAAGUGGACUAAUUAAUAAACCUACUAAAGGUGUUUCUUUUUCCUAUGUGGGACAAGCAAAAAAAACAUUUUUCACAUUUAAACUCUUCCUACAUAUAUCACCCUGGAAGGAUCUAGAUCAAAGGGAUAAGUCCCUAAAGCUUGAUCAAGUUUAUGAUGUUCAAGAAUUGAUGAGCAUGAUAUAUAUCAACAUGAUAUUGCAGAAGACAAUAGAGCUUCUGAAAUAUUUCAGGUUCAAUAGUAGGAAAUCUUUUCAGCUGUCACUUACUGUAAUCCUAUGCUCUCAAUAUUCAAUUGUUGAACAAGAAAGAGGCAUCUUGAAAAAAAAAAUUUGCUUUCACACUACUCAAUUACGGGAGAAUGUUCAAUUAUGGAAGAAAAUAAUAUUCACUGGACUUUUUCAACUCACUCAACAUGCAGAGAAAACCAGUUGGGUGACCAAUUAUUCACAUGAUAACUUACAUACAUAGUCUCUCUACGUCUACUUGUUACUCAUCAGCCAAGCUUAUAGUAAUAUAAGCUUGGAUUCAUCUCUCUAUACCACUGAUGCCAACUCUACAUGGACUUCGCCUUCUGGUGAUUUUGCAUUUGGAUUCCGACCCUCUCCAAGUGAAAAGGAUCUAUUCCUUCUUGCUAUCUGGACUGCAAAUGGAAGUUAACCGGUGCCAAGAGGAUCAAAAGUUGAGCUUACCACCAAUGGACAGCUUGUUCUCCUUGGAGGCCAAGAGAUAUGGAAGACAAAGACUGGUAAUAUGAGCAGCGAAGCAGUGCAUGGUGCCAUGCUUGGAGAUGGAAAUUGAAUACCAGUAUAUGGAGAGCUUCAACCACCCAACUAAUACCAUAUUGCCAACCCAGGGAUUGGGUGUUGGAACCUACUGUGCAGUUGCUAUUUUUGAGGACCUGAGGUUUGUAAAUGGAACUGGAAGCUGUUGGAGGAUAAGACUACCUCUUUCAAAUGGGAGGUUGGAUCAAACUGCUGUUGCCAGAAGUGCCCUAAUCAAGAUAUUGAAGUCCAGUGAACUAACUUCAGGCAGAGGCAAGCAAAAUAAAGCAAUUCUAAUCCUCUAAGUCCUGGGCCCCUCUGUUCUUCUUCACUUCUUCGUUGCAAUUCUCUAGUUUUCUACUGCUUGAACCUCAAAAAUCUGCAGCUUUAUCACAGAAUCGUGAGUACAAGCGAUGGUAGAAGCCUUUGGCACUGUCUAUAAAGGGAUAUUACCAUCAGGUUCUGGAAAUUCUGUUGCUGAAAGAAGUUGGAGAAGGUGGUGAGAGAAGGUGAGAAAGAAUUCAAAGCAGAAGUGAAUGUGAUAGGCCAAACUCACCAUAAGAAUCUACGACACUUGCUGGGUUACUGCUGUGAGGGUGAACACUGACUUCUGGUGUAUGAGUUUAUGCACAAUUGCUCUUUAUCAAGCUUCCUUUUUGGAGGUGCCCGAUGACUUGUGUACCUACAUGAAGAAUGCAGUAAACAACUAGACUUGAACACUUCAGGCAUCAGAGGGACUGUGGGGGUAUAUUCAGACCACUCGGGCAGCCUCUAUCUCUUAUAAUAACACAUUAUGAAGCAUCAGCUCAACGCCAGUGUUCAAUCUGCAAAGCAAGGGAUUCAUCAAUGUUUCCUUCAAACUAAAUAAUAAGGAACAGAAAUGGAUCAUUCUGCAUUUUCAGUUGUGUUUGUUAUAGCAUUUAUACAAGAACUUUUGGGGUUUCUAUGUAUGACUUCAUUCCUAUUUUGUCAGUGAAUGUGGUGACGGUGUUACAUUAUAAAUCAUAGUGAAACGGUGGAAUUUGAUCAUUUAGCCAACUUCAUCCAAAACCGUUUGACAUUUGAGGGGAUCAUUAACUUUGCCAUGGGCCAAGCAGCAAUUUCUUAAGAAGCUGGGUAACAAAGAGUACCAUAAUUUGGACUAGUUUCAAUGGAAACUCCCCUGUUUUUGUGCAUGAUAUCUUCAGCUUCAGCUUUUCCUUUGCUUUUGACUAGCCUGAAACUGAUCCAAAUCUCUUCAAUCGAUUAAACGUAUAAAUGAAUCCUAUUCAUUGUUUGAAGUAACAACCAAAUUCUGGAAGACUGGGAAAGUAUGACACUGGAGAGAAAACAAAAUGACAAGACCAUAAAUUCUGGAAGAGGGCUUUGCUUUCUAACCAUUACCAUAAUUUUACAGCUCAACCCGGAUGAAUAAAUUAUAUUUCAGAAUGUUCAGAAGAUAAUUCUAAAGAGAUGGACCUUCUACUCACAGUUUCUUGUUCUUCUUGAACAGAGCAAUGAACAUCAAUAGUUCAGCACCCAGGAAUCUCCCCUUCCUCCAAUUCCUUCACUGGAAAAACUCUACCAAAAUCAGAACAAUCUAUCCUCUUCCCUGAAGGAAGAGUCACCUUCCCAAUCAAGAAAGCCUUGCUCAAAAUCAAAAUACAUCAAGAGCUGCUAUUUUCUUCUAUUUCCUCUUCCUUGAAUAGAAUACCUUUGGACUUAGGCGAUCAAUGGUAACAGUCUAACACACUCCUUAAGCUCUGAUUGAGGUUGACUGGGAUUGGCAUCUUUAAUGACUUUGAAAUCAUAGCUCUGUGAAGGGAGACAAACAUGAAUCACAGGAUCAUCAACAAGUCAACAACUAUCAAUCAGCAAGGAAAAGGAAAUACCUUUGGAUAUUUACCAAUGAAAAAUUUGAGAGUCCAGCUGCUCCGCACAGAAAGGCUUGAGCUUAUUCCAUGGCCCAGGCUUUAGACGGUUCUUAAUUACAGAUAAGAGGGCUGAAUUUUCUUUUAUUCUGCAAUAAGAGUAGAAGCAUCAAUGAAACACUAAAAGUAUAUAUGUAGAAGCCCUUCUAAAUCACCUAAGAGACCCCACAAGCAGAUUUGAAGAGUACAUCAAUGGAAAGUUCCUGAAUCCAUUGUCUAGCUAAUUAUCUUUCAAUUUCUAAGGCUUGAUUUUCCAUUUGUAGUAGAAAAUUUUUCUUAUUACAAUGCCACAAAAUUGGUUGAUCUAAUUAAAACAAAAACGAGGUUCUUGACAGAAAAUGAUUAGGAAGGCAUGCAUGUAACAAAUACAAAUGAUAUAUGAUAUAAGAUUUUCACGGAUUAAACAAAAAUACAUGGCAAAAUAGAAGCAGGAGGAUAAGGUCACAGACAGGACAAUAUUAAAAGAAGCAACUAUUUUUCUGACCUGAAAAUCGAGGCAUUCAGAACAAUAUACAUUUGUAAGUAGUCCAUGGAAACCAAGGAACAUAUGCAGAUGUUGUAUUCUAUUGCAUAAGGCAAACACUCAAUACUCAGUAGCAUAACCAAGGCCAGAAAGCCAUAUAUCCCUUUUUGUUUUGCUUUUUUACCUAUUCUCAUCUCUUAUGACCAGAAGUGCCAAAGAUGUUAUAACCUCACCAAAUUAGUAAGAAACCAGCCCAUUCAGCAGGUGGAGGAGCCAGCUUGCCCUCAAUCUUCUUUGAGUCACCAAACAGGUGGACAUUAUUGCCUCCAACAGGGGGUUUGGAAAUAUUAGAGCUGGCAGCAGGGGUGGCUGUAAAACUCUCUGUUCCAAAAACCCCAAGUUUCAGGGCCAGAAGUUGCUUCUGUGGCUGGUUUGUUGUGAUGGCCAUUUCUGGUCCUAACAGACUUGCUAUUGUUUUCUGGGUACCUCAGAGAAAGCUUGCCAUGGAUUAGAGCCUGGGCCAGGGGGACUGUUAACCUUGCCAUGGGCGAAGCAGCAAUUUCUUAAGAAGCUGGGUGACAAAGAGUACCAUAAUUUGGACUAGUUUCAAUGGAAAUUCCUCUGUUCAUGAUAUCUUCAGCUUCAGCUUUUCCUUUUGCUUUUGGCAUGGCUGAAACUGAUCCUGGAAUCAAAAAUCACAGACACAAAUAAAUAUUUAACAGAAAAGGAUCCAAAUCUCUUCAAUUGAUUAAUGUAUAAAUGAAUUAAUAAAAAAAAUUUAGAGACAAUUGAAGGGAGAUGAACCUUAUGCCUCUGAGUUUCUUAUUCAUAUUGAACAGAGUAAUGAGCAUCAAUUGUUCAGCACCCAGGAAUCUCCCUUCCUCCACAGCAAACACACCCCACACCCUCCCAAUAUCUGAACAAUCUAUCCUUUCUUCAGAUUCCACUUCCUUGGAAAAGUCAAAACAAGAAGACAACAUCAUCAAAAUUGAGACAGAAAUAAGUGCAUCAACUAUCUCAAAAAGAGAUGUAUGCCUAUUGCUCACCUUCUGAAGAGGUCCACUUGGUUAGCACACACAAUAGACCAAUUUUCCUUUUUUUACAUGGACUCCCAAUCAGUUCAAACAUCUAAAAAAUUUGACUAAUUCAGUAUCAUAAAAUGCUUCACAUAAAUUCUAAAUGAUCUCAUAUCUAAAAAUUCAUUGGCCUAAAAUUAUUGUUGUUUACCUUACAUGUUUUCCAUAGUCAUUGUUGAACUUUGUUUGUCAUAAGAAAUCUUCUAUGCCCAUCCUAUUUACUUAUUACAAAACAUUGAAAGGGAAAAAAAAAAACACCGAAAAUGAUGAUUAGCUUUGUCUGAUAAGAAAGGAAAGAGUAAAAAAUAAAAAUAAAAUUUGAAUUGAAUAACUUUUUAAAAUUCUUAAUUGUAAAACUAUUUUGGUUCUCAAAAAAUGAAAGGAAAAAGUUGUAAAUUUUUUCUCUUGUUUGAUUGUUUAGGGAAAAAUUGAUGGAAAAACCUGAAUCUAUGAGGAAUUUAUUUAACACUUUUGAGGAAUCAAAAAUGUUUUAGAUGUUAUCAAAUCCAUAAUUUAAAAUUAUUUAAUAUUUACUUCCAUGUAAAUGAGUUUGAUCAAACAAAUGAAAUUGUGAAUAAAAUCAUUUUAAAAAGAAUUAAAUAAAAUAUUGAAUCAUAAUAUGCAAUUAUAAAUCUUGUAAUUUGGCAUAUUGAAGCAAAAAAAAAAAAAAAACAAAGCAAUUUAAAUUACUUACUAAUAAAGCAGCUAACUAGAAUUUGUACUUGAGUUUGCUCUAUGCCCUGUAUAUAAGAAAUAAACAGAGAAUAUGAAAAAAAUAAAAAUAAAUAAAAUCCAUGUUUUUAAUUUUUUUUUUAUAGUUAUAAAUGGUUCAUUUGGUAAACAGAGCAUGAAAAUGUGAGUACCAUUAGAAUAAGACAAUCCUCCUCUGCUUCUCUUCAAUAUUUGUUUCAGGUUUGAAGCUUCAAGAAAAAGAAAAUCUUAAAUCAAAUCUUAAAUCAAAUAAACAGGACUAGCAAAUGAAUUGGAACAUAAAUAUUUUUCUAAAGAAAAGAAGUUCAUGCACAAAAGAAUUACCUGACUGUAUAUUGGCGGAGUGGCACUUUGAUUAAUAUAGCACACCAUUGAUCACUAUUUUUGGAACGUGAGCUAUAUAACGCCAUUCUUUCCCUUUCUCAAAUUGACAUCGUCUUUCCAGUAAAGGACACCCGUAGAGACACAGAAAAGAGAGGGAGUCUGGAAGUCUCUCUUUUGUCAAGUAUUUGAGCUUACAGCAGUGUAUGAUCUCCAAUGUUUUAAGAGAGAUGAGGUGUUGAAGACCCUAUUUUGUCAAUGAUUGGAGCAUUGGGCAGUCCUUGAUUUCGAUAUGUUUGAGAGAGAUGAGGUGUUGAAGACCCGAGGAGUCUUGCAGUCUCUGUUUUGUCAAGUAUUGGAGCUUAGGGCAAUUGUCGAUAUGCAAUGUUUCAAGAGAGGUGAGAUGUUGAAGACCCACUUCUGUCAAGGAUUGGAGGUUUGGGCAUCCAUCAAUUUGUAAUUCUGUGAGAGAGAUAAGGUGUUGAAGAACUGAUCCUGUCGAGAACUGGAGCUCUGGGCAGUUUAUGAUCUCUAAUUUUAGAAGAGAGGUGAGUUGUUGAAGUCCCCCGCUGUCGAGAGACUUGAGAUUGGGAAGCUCUACAAUUUCAAGAGAAGUUAGAGAAGAGGGCAGCAGACACUCCUUGGGAAAUAAUUCAAUGCCUUCACAUCCACCUUCCAUUCUUAAACGUGUAAGAGAGGUCAACCUUUGCAAACCCCAGUCCACCUGAGGCGUGACUUUGUUACACCUUCGAAAUUGAAGUUCACAUAGGUUGGAAGGCAAACCCUCUCUCUGAAACAACAAUUCUGGACAAUCCCAUAAAUGCAGCUCCUGUAUAGAUGAGUGCGUGUGCGCCAACGACCUGAGCUUGGAGGAACUCGAGAUCCAACAACACUUCAAGUUAAGUGCAAGCAAUUCGAUAGAUUCAAGAUUAGGGCAAUUCAGUAGAUGCAAGAAACAUAAAGAUGUGGGAUCUCCAUUUGAAAUAAAAAUGGAGAGCUUCUCAAGCCCCUUAAGACCAUGGAUUGUGAAAUAAGUCAACUUGGGGAAGAUGCUUAAUGAGAAGGAUAACGAGAGAGAAUCAUCGAUAACACCACCAUUGAUGCUUAGGCUUUCAAGGACUGGAAGAUGGCAUCUGAACAACUCAGGUAGGAGAAACUCUAAUUCCAAACACUCAGAGAUUGAUAGUAAUUUCAAUGUAGUGGGUAAACCAACCUUGUGCAGGGAUCUGGAAAAACUACAAUCAUAGAUUUCCAAAUCAUGUAUGUUGGUUUGCAAGAUUUCCUCCUCUAAUAGAGAUUCCACAUGAUCACAUUUUCUGAUUGAGAGCUGGUGUGGUGCCAUUGGAAGUUGCUUCCACUGAGACACGUCUAAAAUUUCAAUUUCUGAAGUUUGAAGAGCUGUGAAGUCACAAGCUGGCAUUUGCAACUGCAAUUCACCAAAAUCCACCAUCCUCAAUUCACGAAUAGCAGGAACUGUGAGCGAAGCCAUAAGCAGUUGCGGACAUUCAUGAAUUUGAAGUUUCACCAGUGAAAGAAGUCGUUCUGGUAAUUUUCCAGUGAGUUUGGGAUAGUGUCGUAUAGAAAGCUCCCGGAGAUGAGGGAAUUCUCCACAACAUAACCAUUUCUCCCAGUUCGGCAUGUCCCCAAAUGAUAGUGUUUCUAGGGAUUGAAAGGAAGCAUUCCCAUAAAACUCACCACCCACACACUCUACUGCAUUCAUUCCUGAGAUUUGUAGAUAUUUAAGAUGGGUUAGCUGCUCAAGUGGUGGCCAUGUUGAGCAAUUGCCACAACCCCGAAGCUCAAGGGACACGAGUUUCAAGAUUGAAGGAUCUCCAAGCCAAUUUGGAAAUCUUACACCAGGAUAGUUUUUGAUGGAGAGUUGUUUUAAAUUUGGAUGAGGUUGUAACUGGUUGAGUAUAUCAUCAGUUGUAGCAACAUAUUGUGUAAUACCACCAUCUAUAGCCCCUUCCGUUUCCCAAUUCAAGAUUAACUCAUCAAGAUAACUCUUAUCCUUCAUAUUAGCUUGUAAUGCAUCGUUAACACUCACCACAUUCUUCACGUUUGAAAUAUAAAGUGUUUCUCGAAUCUCUAAAAGAUCCCUCAAUUCUCCAAUUCUUAAUCCACUCUUUUGGCCCACAAUAAAAUAAGGCAAUUUUUGUAAACAUUUUAAUCGACUAAUGCCAUGACUUGACAUUUCUUUUAAUGAAUAACACUCAGAAAUAUCAAGAUAACGCAAAUUAAUCAAUUUCCCCAUCCUUGAAGGCAAUUCAAUAAGUUCUGAACAUCCUCUAAAGAUCAACGUUUGUAAAUUGUACAAACAACAUAUUGAUUCAGGUAACUUUUCAAUCCAUGUGUAAGAUAGAUCUAAAUAGUGCAAAUGUUUCAAAUUGCCUAUCAAAUCUGGCAAAUUAGUUAUCUUGUAUUCUUGUAAUGACAACACACGUAAACACCUCAUUUUUUGUAUAUCUUUGAAAACUCUUUUACUCAAUAUAUACCAUGACUCGUAAAAUGAUUGUUUCACAUCUAAUAAUGUCCGAAGAGAUUUAGCUUUAGUAAAAGCCUCAAGCUUGUUAAAUGUAAUAAACCUGUCAAAAUCACUGUGAAAGUAUAAAAAGUGGCGAGUCUUCUCAGAUACUUUUUGUACCUUAUUAUCUUCCACUCGGACACAAAAAUCUCCUCCAGACACAUGUUGAGCCAAUUCAUGGACUAGAUCAUGCAUUACGAAGCAAUAUGAUUUUUCUCCUCUAAUAGAUUUUUGAAAAAAUGAUUUGGCCAAAAGGUCAUUAAAAUAGGACUCACCUAUCUCUUCCAUUCUUCUUCCAUCGUCUUGUUGUGGAUGUAAAAGACCUUCUGCCAUCCAUAAUAAAACCAGCUCCCCUUUGUUGAAUUCGUGGUCCUGGGAAAAAAUUGAACAAUAUGCAAAACAAUGUUUCACAGGUAAAGAAAGAUGAUGGUAGCUCAAUCUCAAAGAAGGAAGAAUUCCAUCAUGACUCUGAAGAUGUCAUAUUUCACUAUUCAAAACGUCCUCCCAUUCCCUUUUUUCGACCUUCGAGUACAGCAGAUGCCCGAGUGAUUUAACAGCCAAAGGCAAUCCUUGGCACUUAUCCACAAUCUGUCUACCUAUGGGUUCAAGCUCAAGGCAUGCGUUAGAGUCUCUAUCUUGAAAUGCAAUCUUUUCAAAUAGGCUCCAACAAUGUUGAGGGCUUAAUUCUUCCAGAGGAUGAGUGCGGACUGCACGCAUAGUUUUUGCAACAGAUUCAUCACGACUGGUCACAACAAUCUUGCUUCCCUCUGCUGCACCCAGGAGCGGAGUUCGUAGUCUAUCCCAACUUUCCCAAUCAAAGGACUCCACAUCCCAGACGUCAUCGAGAACAAGCAGAAAUUUCUUGUUAACAAGGCUCUGUUUGAGUUGGCGUUGAAGCAAAUCCAGAUUGUCAUCGGAAGUAGGUCUAUCGCCGAUUUCCUCGAGAAUUGAUUUGGUGACCUUGAUAAGAAGAAACUCAGUGGAAACACAGACCCAUGCUUUCAAGUGGAAGUGUUCCUUCACUUUGUCAUUGUUGUAGA